GGCUCAAGAUGAACGCUGGCGGUCUGCUUAACACAUGCAAGUCGAACGGAGUACUUCGGUACUUAGUGGCGGACGGGUGAGUAACGCGUAAGGAUCUGCCCUUUGGACGGGGAUAACGACUGGAAACGGUCGCUAAGACCCGAUGUGCCGAGAGGUGAAAGUAAUUUAGCCAAAGGAUGAACUUGCGUCCGAUUAGCUAGUUGGUGGAGUAAUGGUUCACCAAGGCGACGAUCGGUAGCUGGUCUGAGAGGAUGAUCAGCCACACUGGGACUGAGACACGGCCCAGACUCCUACGGGAGGCAGCAGUGGGGAAUUUUCCGCAAUGGGCGAAAGCCUGACGGAGCAAGACCGCGUGGGGGAAGAAGGUUUGUGGAUUGUAAACCCCUUUUGAUUGGGAAGAUGAUGACGGUACCAAUCGAAUCAGCCUCGGCUAACUCCGUGCCAGCAGCCGCGGUAAUACGGAGGAGGCAAGCGUUAUCCGGAAUUAUUGGGCGUAAAGCGUCCGUAGGUGGAUGAGCGUGUCAGUUGUUAAAGGAUGCGGCUUAACCGCAUAAAGGCGAUUGAAACUGUUUAUCUAGAGUGCGAUAGGGGCAAGGGGAAUUCCCAGUGUAGCGGUGAAAUGCGUAGAUAUUGGGAAGAACACCGGUGGCGAAAGCGCCUUGCUGGGUCUGCACUGACACUGAGGGACGAAAGCUAGGGGAGCGAAAGGGAUUAGAUACCCCUGUAGUCCUAGCUGUAAACGAUGGGUACUAGGCGUUGUCCGUAUCGACCCGGGCAGUGCCGUAGCUAACGCGUUAAGUACCCCGCCUGGGGAGUACGCUCGCAAGAGUGAAACUUAAA
RNAcentral lists this ribosomal RNA (840 nucleotides) under uncultured bacterium. RNAcentral describes it as "bacterial SSU rRNA". It matches the Rfam family "Bacterial small subunit ribosomal RNA", at positions 21 to 905 of the family's 1533-position model. The record is from RNAcentral.